UGUAGGAGCGAGCUUGCUCGCGAUCAGCCGUGAGGCUGAAAGAUUGGCGGUGUAUGCGAUUUUUUAUCGCGAGCAAGCUCGCUCCUACA
This 89-nucleotide unclassified non-coding RNA is filed under the name Pseudomonas chlororaphis. The record is from RNAcentral. Lineage: Bacteria; Pseudomonadati; Pseudomonadota; Gammaproteobacteria; Pseudomonadales; Pseudomonadaceae.